GAUGAAGAACGCAGCGAAAUGCGAUAAGUAGUGUGAAUCGCAGAAUUCAGUGAAUCAUCGAAUCUUUGAACGCACAUUGCGCCCCUUGGUAUUCCAUGGGGCAUGCCUGUUCGAGCGUCAUUUGUACCCUCAAGCUUUGCUUGGUGUUGGGCGUCUUGUCGUAUUACGACUCGCCUUAAAUACAUUGGCAGCCGGCACUUUGGCCUAGGAGCGCAGCACAUUUUGCGAUCGUAGCCCGUUGUACUGGCGUCCAUCAAGAACAUUUACCACGUUUGACCUCGGAUCAGGUAGGGAUACCCGCUGAACUUAAGCAUAUCAAUAAGCGGAGGA
RNAcentral lists this unclassified non-coding RNA (330 nucleotides) under soil metagenome. Its description in RNAcentral is "partial contains 5.8S ribosomal RNA, internal transcribed spacer 2, and large subunit ribosomal RNA". The stretch from base 1 to 120 matches the Rfam family "5.8S ribosomal RNA", at positions 35 to 154 of the family's 154-position model. The record is from RNAcentral.